Molecule: long non-coding RNA, 213 nt
Filed under: Bos taurus (domestic cattle)
Lineage: Eukaryota; Metazoa; Chordata; Mammalia; Artiodactyla; Bovidae
Description: long non-coding RNA NONBTAT011237
Source: RNAcentral
UGCUGUACAGCAUGCGUUCCUUUUUUUGUAGUUACUGGAUGGAUACUGUAUUAAUGAAGUAGAGAUGAGCACAUGCUAAAAAUAUAGCCUCUGUAUAUAGAGAUUAUCAUGCAGUUAGUAUAAUUUGGCAUAUGUGCUAAUAUAAUUAAUAGAAGAUAACUUCAGUGAAUUAUUUUGCUUUUGUAUUUUACUUAAAAUGAAGAUAAUUGAUGG